Molecule: long non-coding RNA, 255 nt
Filed under: Capsicum annuum
Lineage: Eukaryota; Viridiplantae; Streptophyta; Magnoliopsida; Solanales; Solanaceae
Description: long non-coding RNA (CANN_LNC012680)
Source: RNAcentral
UCCGUAGUACAUAUCCAUACCAAUACCCCUUAGAGCGGAGUGUUGUGCUUGUAGAUAUAGUAUGAUGGAGAUCGAAGGGCUAAUCUUAAAUUUUCUUCUAGCGGUGGACUUUAAGAGAAAGUAGGGGUAAAUUUACUUCUAAUCUUGCAAUUCCCUCCUAUUACAAUUAAAAGGGCAGUCUACUAGUGUUGCAUGCAUUCUAAUAGUCUUAUGCCUAAGGUUUGCAUUCUAUUUGUUGUAUAUGUCUAUACUCUG